AACGAACGCUGGCGGCAGGCUUAACACAUGCAAGUCGAGCGCAUCCUUCGGGGUGAGCGGCAGACGGGUGAGUAACGCGUGGGAAUCUACCUUUUGCUACGGAAUAGCUCCGGGAAACUGGAAUUAAUACCGUAUGUGCCCUUAGGGGGAAAGAUUUAUCGGCAAGAGAUGAGCCCGCGUUGGAUUAGCUAGUUGGUGGGGUAAAGGCCUACCAAGGCGACGAUCCAUAGCUGGUCUGAGAGGAUGAUCAGCCACAUUGGGACUAAGACACGGCCCAAACUCCUACGGGAGGCAGCAGUGGGGAAUAUUGGACAAUGGGCGCAAGCCUGAUCCAGCCAUGCCGCGUGAGUGAUGAAGGCAUUAGGGUUGUAAAGCUCUUUCACCGGAGAAGAUAAUGACGGUAUCCGGAGAAGAAGCCCCGGCUAACUUCGUG
RNAcentral lists this ribosomal RNA (433 nucleotides) under uncultured bacterium. RNAcentral describes it as "partial 16S ribosomal RNA". It matches the Rfam family "Bacterial small subunit ribosomal RNA", at positions 29 to 507 of the family's 1533-position model. The record is from RNAcentral.